UACGUAGGUGGCAAGCGUUGUCCGGAUUUACUGGGCGUAAAGAGCGCGCAGGCGGUCGGAUCAGUCGAAUGUGAAAGCCCCCGGCUCAACUGGGGAGGGUCACGCGAUACUGAUCGACUCGAAGGCAGGAGAGGGUAGUGGAAUUCCCGGUGUAGUGGUGAAAUGCGUAGAUAUCGGGAGGAACACCAGUGGCGAAGGCGACUACCUGGCCUGUUUCUUGACGCUGAGGCGCGAAAGCUAGGGGAGCAAACGGG
This 254-nucleotide ribosomal RNA is filed under the name uncultured bacterium. RNAcentral's name for it is "partial 16S ribosomal RNA". It matches the Rfam family "Bacterial small subunit ribosomal RNA", at positions 524 to 776 of the family's 1533-position model. The record is from RNAcentral.